Molecule: ribosomal RNA, 980 nt
Filed under: Listeria monocytogenes
Lineage: Bacteria; Bacillati; Bacillota; Bacilli; Caryophanales; Listeriaceae
Description: partial 23S ribosomal RNA
Rfam family: Bacterial large subunit ribosomal RNA
Source: RNAcentral
AGUACGGCGGAACACGUGAAAUUCCGUCGGAAUCCGGGAGGACCAUCUCCCAAGGCUAAAUACUCCCUAGUGACCGAUAGUGAACCAGUACCGUGAGGGAAAGGUGAAAAGCACCCCGGAAGGGGAGUGAAACAGUUCCUGAAACCGUGUGCCUACAAGUAGUUAGAGCCCGUUAAUGGGUGAUAGCGUGCCUUUUGUAGAAUGAACCGGCGAGUUACGAUUUGUUGCAAGGUUAAGCGGAAAAAGCGGAGCCGUAGCGAAAGCGAGUCUGAAUAGGGCGCAUAAGUAACAGGUCGUAGACCCGAAACCAGGUGAUCUACCCAUGUCCAGGAUGAAGGUAAGGUAAUACUUACUGGAGGUCCGAACCCACGCACGUUGAAAAGUGCGGGGAUGAGGUGUGGGUAGCGGAGAAAUUCCAAUCGAACUUGGAGAUAGCUGGUUCUCUCCGAAAUAGCUUUAGGGCUAGCCUCGAGGUAAAGAGUCAUGGAGGUAGAGCACUGUUUGGACUAGGGGCCCUUCUCGGGUUACCGAAUUCAGAUAAACUCCGAAUGCCAUGUACUUAUACUCGGGAGUCAGACUGCGAGUGAUAAGAUCCGUAGUCGAAAGGGAAACAGCCCAGACCACCAGUUAAGGUCCCCAAAUAUAUGUUAAGUGGAAAAGGAUGUGGGGUUGCUUAGACAACCAGGAUGUUGGCUUAGAAGCAGCCACCAUUGAAAGAGUGCGUAAUAGCUCACUGGUCGAGUGACCCCGCGCCGAAAAUGUACCGGGGCUAAACAUAUUACCGAAACUGUGGAUGAACCUCUUUAGAGGUUCGUGGUAGGAGAGCGUUCUAAGGGCGGUGAAGUCAGACCGGAAGGACUGGUGGAGCGCUUAGAAGUGAGAAUGCCGGUAUGAGUAGCGAAAGAAGGGUGAGAAUCCCUUCCACCGAAUAUCUAAGGUUUCCUGAGGAAGGCUCGUCCGCUCAGGGUUAGUCGGGACCU